RNAcentral lists this ribosomal RNA (389 nucleotides) under uncultured bacterium. Its description in RNAcentral is "bacterial SSU rRNA". It matches the Rfam family "Bacterial small subunit ribosomal RNA", at positions 29 to 408 of the family's 1533-position model. The record is from RNAcentral.
AACGAACGCUGGCGGCGCGCCUAAUACAUGCAAGUCGAGCGAGAAGACGUAGCAAUACGUUUGUAAAGCGGCGAACGGGUGAGGAAUACAUGGGUAACCUACCCUCGAGUGGGGAAUAACUAGCCGAAAGGUUGGCUAAUACCGCGUACGCUCCUUGGACUUCGGUUCAGGGAGGAAAGCGAUACCGUGGGUAUCGCGCUCUUGGAUGGGCUCAUGUCCUAUCAGCUUGUUGGNGAGGUAACGGCUCACCAAGGCUUCGACGGGUAGCUGGUCUGAGAGGACGAUCAGCCACACUGGCACUGCGACACGGGCCAGACUCCUACGGGAGGCAGCAGUAAGGAAUAUUGCGCAAUGGGCGAAAGCCUGACGCAGCGACGCCGCGUGGGGGA